CAUGCAAGUCGAGCGACAGAUAAGGAGCUUGCUCCUUUGACGUUAGCGGCGGACGGGUGAGUAACACGUGGGUAACCUACCUAUAAGACUGGGAUAACUUCGGGAAACCGGAGCUAAUACCGGAUAAUAUUUCGAACCGCAUGGUUCGAUAGUGAAAGAUGGUUUUGCUAUCACUUAUAGAUGGACCCGCGCCGUAUUAGCUAGUUGGUAAGGUAACGGCUUACCAAGGCGACGAUACGUAGCCGACCUGAGAGGGUGAUCGGCCACACUGGAACUGAGACACGGUCCAGACUCCUACGGGAGGCAGCAGUAGGGAAUCUUCCGCAAUGGGCGAAAGCCUGACGGAGCAACGCCGCGUGAGUGAUGAAGGUCUUCGGAUCGUAAAACUCUGUUAUUAGGGAAGAACAUACGUGUAAGUAACUGUGCACGUCUUGACGGUACCUAAUCAGAAAGCCACGGCUAACUACGUGCCAGCAGCCGCGGUAAUACGUAGGUGGCAAGCGUUAUCCGGAAUUAUUGGGCGUAAAGCGCGCGUAGGCGGUUUUUUAAGUCUGAUGUGAAAGCCCACGGCUCAACCGUGGAGGGUCAUUGGAAACUGGAAAACUUGAGUGCAGAAGAGGAAAGUGGAAUUCCAUGUGUAGCGGUGAAAUGCGCAGAGAUAUGGAGGAACACCAGUGGCGAAGGCGACUUUCUGGUCUGUAACUGACGCUGAUGUGC
RNAcentral lists this ribosomal RNA (717 nucleotides) under Staphylococcus sp. Z7. Its description in RNAcentral is "bacterial SSU rRNA". It matches the Rfam family "Bacterial small subunit ribosomal RNA", at positions 54 to 754 of the family's 1533-position model. The record is from RNAcentral. Lineage: Bacteria; Bacillati; Bacillota; Bacilli; Caryophanales; Staphylococcaceae.